AAAGAGCUCGCCUCUUGCACCCUGGCCUUCGGGUCGCUUGAGGUUAAAUCAAUAGAAGGACACUAAGCAUGUAGAUCUCAAGGCCUAGUGCUGGCGGACGCGGGUUCGAUUCCCGCCGUCUCCACCA
RNAcentral lists this transfer-messenger RNA (127 nucleotides) under Marinobacter nauticus. RNAcentral's name for it is "partial transfer-messenger RNA". It matches the Rfam family "transfer-messenger RNA", at positions 236 to 374 of the family's 374-position model. From Rfam's summary of the family: Bacterial tmRNA, also known as 10Sa RNA or SsrA, is named for its dual tRNA and mRNA-like properties. Its role is to liberate the mRNA from a stalled ribosome. The record is from RNAcentral. Lineage: Bacteria; Pseudomonadati; Pseudomonadota; Gammaproteobacteria; Pseudomonadales; Marinobacteraceae.